This 66-nucleotide transfer RNA is filed under the name Phaneroptera nigroantennata. RNAcentral's name for it is "tRNA-Ile". Lineage: Eukaryota; Metazoa; Arthropoda; Insecta; Orthoptera; Tettigoniidae. The record is from RNAcentral.
AGUGAAGUGCCUGAAAAAAGGAUUACUAUGAUAGAGUAAAUAAUGUAAUUUUAAUUACCUUCACUA